AUUGGAUGCAAAGGCUCCAAGAGUUAACGCCUAAUAGGAUUCCUAAUGUAAAUUAAAUAACUUAAAUUAUUAAGAAACCUAAUAUAAGUAGGACUUGUAUUAUGAGAUUGAAUAGGAUUCAAUCCUCAUGCUUAUUUAAAGGGACCUCCUCUAAGGUCCCUAGGGCAUCUAACCAGUAGCCCUCCAUGCCUCAUAGAUCCCCCC
Molecule: long non-coding RNA, 204 nt
Filed under: Elaeis guineensis (African oil palm)
Lineage: Eukaryota; Viridiplantae; Streptophyta; Magnoliopsida; Arecales; Arecaceae
Description: long non-coding RNA (EGUI_LNC005124)
Source: RNAcentral